CCGUCCAAACGUUAUUCGGUAUCACUGGGCUUAAAGCGUGCGUAGGCGGCUUGGUAGGUGAGAUGUGAAAGCCCACGGCUCAACCGUGGAAUUGCGUUUCAAACCCCCAAGCUCGAGGAAGAUAGGGGUGAUGGGAACUUAUGGUGGAGCGGUGAAAUGCGUUGAUAUCAUAGGGAACACCGGUGGCGAAAGCGCAUCACUGGAUCUUUUCUGACGCUGAGGCACGAAAGCUAGGGUAGCGAACGGGAUUAGAUACCCCGGUAGUCCUAGCCGUAAACGAUGAACACUGGGUUGAGGGGACUUCCACAUCCUCUCGGCCGUAGCGAAAGCGUUAAGUGUUCCGCCUGGGGAGUAUGGUCGCAAGGCUGAAACUCAAAGGAA
RNAcentral lists this ribosomal RNA (381 nucleotides) under uncultured Planctomycetota bacterium. Its description in RNAcentral is "bacterial SSU rRNA". It matches the Rfam family "Bacterial small subunit ribosomal RNA", at positions 530 to 909 of the family's 1533-position model. The record is from RNAcentral. Lineage: Bacteria; Pseudomonadati; Planctomycetota.